GAUGAACGCUAGCUACAGGCUUAACACAUGCAAGUCGAGGGACCGGCGCACGUGUGAGUAACACGUAUCCACCCUGCCCUUUACUCGGGGAUAGCCUUUCGAAAGAAAGAUUUAUACCCGAUAUAAAGGAUGGGGAUGCGUUCCAUUAGGUUGUUGGUGCGGUACCGGCUCACCAAGCCUUCGAUGGAUGUGGGUUCUGAGAGGAAGGACCCCGACAUUGGAACUGGGACACGGUCCAAACUCGUACGAGAGGCAGCAGUGAGGAAGAAUGGUCAAUGAGCGCUAGCCUGAACCAGCCAGGUAGCGUGAAGGAUGAAGGCGUGUGGGUCGUAAACUUCUUGUAUAUAAGAAUAGGUAUUAUAUGAAUAAGGAUCGGCUAACUCCGUGCCAGCAGCCGCGGUAAUAC
RNAcentral lists this ribosomal RNA (406 nucleotides) under uncultured bacterium. RNAcentral's name for it is "partial 16S ribosomal RNA". It matches the Rfam family "Bacterial small subunit ribosomal RNA", at positions 28 to 526 of the family's 1533-position model. The record is from RNAcentral.